This 479-nucleotide ribosomal RNA is filed under the name uncultured bacterium. RNAcentral's name for it is "partial 16S ribosomal RNA". It matches the Rfam family "Bacterial small subunit ribosomal RNA", at positions 28 to 507 of the family's 1533-position model. The record is from RNAcentral.
GAUGAACGCUGGCGGCGUGCUUAACACAUGCAAGUCGAACGAAGCACUUUAACGUUAUUCUUCGUUUGAAGGUUUUUGUGCCUGAGUGUCGGACGGGUGAGUAACGCGUGGGUAACCUGCCUCAUUCAGGGGGAUAACAGUUAGAAAUGACUGCUAAUACCGCAUAAGACCACAUAGCCGCAUGGCUCGGUGGUAAAAACUCCGGUGGUAUGAGAUGGACCCGCGUCUGAUUAGUUAGUGGGGGGGGUACCGGCCUAGCAAGCCAAAGAUCAGUAGCCGACAUGGGAGCGCGACCGACAACAUUGGGACUGGGACAAGGAGGAAACUCCCCCGGGAGGCAGAAGUCGGGACUAUUGGACAACGGGGGAGACCAUGAGGCCGCGACGUCGUGAGAGCGUAGAAGUAGUGCGGUAUGUAAAGCUCUAGAAGAAGGGAAGAAAAUGACGGUACCUGACUAAGAAGCCCCGGCUAACUACGUG